GAUGAACGCUGGCGGCGUGCCUAAUACAUGCAAGUCGAGCGAACAGACGAGGAUCGUGGUCCGCUGACGUGAGCGGCGGACGGGUGAGUAACAGGUGGAUAACCUACCUAUAAGACUGGAAUAACGGCGGGAAAGCGGAGUUAAGACCGGGAAAUAUAUGUAACCGCAUGGGUCAAUAGUUAAGGACGGGUUUGCGGUCACUUCUAGAUGUAUCCGCGUCGCAUUAGGUAGUUGGUAAGGUAACGGCUUAACAAGGCAACGAUGCGUAGCCGACCUGAGAGGGUGAUCGGCCACACUGGAACUGAGACACGGUCCAGACUCCUACGGGAGGCAGAAGUAGGGAAUCUUCCGCAAUGGGCGAAAGCUUGACGGAGCAACGCCGCGUGAGUGAUGAAGGUCUUCGGAUCGUAAAACUCUGUUAUUAGGGAAGAACAAAUGUGUAAGUAACUAUGCACGUCUUGACGGUACCUAAUCAGAAAGCCACGGCUAACUACGUG
RNAcentral lists this ribosomal RNA (497 nucleotides) under uncultured bacterium. RNAcentral describes it as "partial 16S ribosomal RNA". It matches the Rfam family "Bacterial small subunit ribosomal RNA", at positions 28 to 507 of the family's 1533-position model. The record is from RNAcentral.